AAACAACAACUCCAUAAACUCAUUGCAAACCCAAACAACCAUACUAAUGAAUCCCAUAUCCCCAAGUCCUUACAAACCCAGAAUUCUAAAAUAUGAAAUAGCAAAAAGAGAAACUAUCAAGUGUCGAUCAAAUUGAGUGAGAGGGGGCCAUCAGUGAAGAGGACAAUAAUCAGAAAAAAAUUAUCAUUGACCAUUAACCAAACUAAAAGAUGGUAGCGAAGAUGAAGAUAUUUCAAGACUCUAACAACAAUGAAGAUAAAAGAGUUGAAUAUGAUAUAGAAGAUGAAGGCAAUACUCUAGAGGCAUUUCAAACGCAUUUCAAUUGAAGAUUAAGGGAGAAGAAAGGGAUGAGGAGAACUAAAGGGCGAGAGAGA
Molecule: long non-coding RNA, 374 nt
Filed under: Manihot esculenta (cassava)
Lineage: Eukaryota; Viridiplantae; Streptophyta; Magnoliopsida; Malpighiales; Euphorbiaceae
Description: long non-coding RNA (MESC_LNC004647)
Source: RNAcentral